Molecule: ribosomal RNA, 497 nt
Filed under: uncultured bacterium
Lineage: Bacteria
Description: partial 16S ribosomal RNA
Rfam family: Bacterial small subunit ribosomal RNA
Source: RNAcentral
GAUGAACGCUGGCGGCGUUCCUAAUACAUGCAAGUCGAGCGAACGGACGAGAAGCUUGCUUCUCUGAUGUUAGCGGCGGACGGGUGAGUAACACGUGGAUAACCUACCUAUAAGACUGGGAUAACUUCGGGAAACCGGAGCUAAUACCGGAUGAUAUUUUGAACCGCAUGGUUCAAAAGUGAAAGACGGUCUUGCUGUCACUUAUAGAUGGAUCCGCGCUGCAUUAGCUAGUUGGUAAGGUAACGGCUUACCAAGGCAACGAUGCAUAGCCGACCUGAGAGGGUGAGCGGCCACACGGGGACUGAGGCACGGUCCAGGCUCCUGCGGGAGGCAGCAGUAGGGAAGCUUCCGCAAUGGGGGAAAGCCUGACGGAGCAACGCCGCGUGAGUGAUGAAGGUCUUCGGAUCGUAAAACUCUGUUAUUAGGGAAGAACAUAUGUGUAAGUAACUGUGCACAUCUUGACGGUACCUGAUCAGAAAGCCACGGCUAACUACGUG